CCUACGGGUGGCUGCAGUAAGGAAUAUUGCGCAAUGGGCGAAAGCCUGACGCAGCGACGCCGCGUGGGGGAUGAAGGUCUUCGGAUUGUAAACCCCUUUCGGGAGGGAAGAUGGAGCGAGCAAUCGUUCGGACGGUACCUCCAGAAGCAGCCACGGCCAACUUCGUGCCAGCAGCCGCGGUAAUACGAAGGUGGCAAGCGUUGUUCGGAUUCACUGGGCGUACAGGGUGUGUAGGCGGUUUGGUAAGCCUUCUGUUAAAGCUUCGGGCCCAACCC
This 275-nucleotide ribosomal RNA is filed under the name uncultured Nitrospira sp. RNAcentral describes it as "partial 16S ribosomal RNA". It matches the Rfam family "Bacterial small subunit ribosomal RNA", at positions 338 to 615 of the family's 1533-position model. Lineage: Bacteria; Pseudomonadati; Nitrospirota; Nitrospiria; Nitrospirales; Nitrospiraceae. The record is from RNAcentral.